UACGUAGGGUGCAAGCGUUAAUCGGAAUUACUGGGCGUAAAGCGUGCGCAGGCGGUUUUGUAAGACUGUCGUGAAAUCCCCGGGCUUAACCUGGGAAUGGCGAUGGUGACUGCAAGGCUAGAGUUUGGCAGAGGGGGGUAGAAUUCCCGGUGUAGCGGUGAAAUGCGCAGAUAUCGGGAGGAACACCAGUAGCGAAGGCGGCACUCUGGGCCGUGACUGACGCUGAGGAGCGAAAGCGUGGGUAGCAAACAGG
This 253-nucleotide ribosomal RNA is filed under the name uncultured bacterium. RNAcentral describes it as "partial 16S ribosomal RNA". It matches the Rfam family "Bacterial small subunit ribosomal RNA", at positions 524 to 776 of the family's 1533-position model. The record is from RNAcentral.